GACGAACGCUGGCGGCGCGCCUAACACAUGCAAGUCGAACGGAGCUUAGAGAGCUUGCUUUUAAGCUUAGUGGCGAACGGGUGAGUAACGCGUGAGUAACCUGCCCUGGAGUGGGGGACAACAGUUGGAAACGACUGCUAAUACCGCAUAAGCCCACGGUACCGCAUGGUACAGUGUGAAAAACUCCGGUGGUGUGAGAUGGACCCGCGUCUGAUUAGCUAGUUGGCAGGGUAACGGCCUACCAAGGCGACGAUCAGUAGCCGACCUGAGAGGGUGACCGGCCACAUUGGGACUGAGACACGGCCCAGGACUCCUACGGGAGGCAGCAGUGGGAAU
Molecule: ribosomal RNA, 336 nt
Filed under: uncultured bacterium
Lineage: Bacteria
Description: bacterial SSU rRNA
Rfam family: Bacterial small subunit ribosomal RNA
Source: RNAcentral